Molecule: ribosomal RNA, 531 nt
Filed under: Triticum aestivum (bread wheat)
Lineage: Eukaryota; Viridiplantae; Streptophyta; Magnoliopsida; Poales; Poaceae
Description: partial small subunit ribosomal RNA
Source: RNAcentral
AUGGAUGCGAGUUGCGCGACGGCCAGGAAGGAGAAAGAAGAGAGGGAGUAUAUAUCAAUGCGCAGGAGGACACGGGCGAAGGAAAGUUGGAACCCUAACAAAGACAAAAAGGAUGUCUACACCCACAGGUCGUGGAAAACCGAUGAGCUCAAACUCACGGGUCCUACUCGUGCUGUUGUGGUCGAUUUCGACCCAGGGAGUUUUGAGGUUGUGCUCAAAGUUAAGGGCGCAACUGAAUCUGCUGAUAGAGACCUAAGUUUUCUAGUCCUGCCAUUAGAAGAACGUUAUCAGUAUCAUAGGUAUUAUACUAGUAAAAAUAGCACACUGGAGUUAACACUCCGCCGCGUUGAUCAGUCUGUGGAGGCAACAAUCAGUAUGCGACUCGCUGCUGGUUCAUCAUGGCCACGCGGUUUCCAGGGUGUAUUUACCGCCAGUAUUGCCAGUAUAGAUGAUGCCGAAGUUUCCUUGCUUUCUUUUGAAGAUGAUAGAUUGCCAGUUAAUGCCGAUGACACGGCGUGUUGUCUCCGUUGA